Bombus impatiens (common eastern bumble bee) is the source of this 931-nucleotide long non-coding RNA. RefSeq lists it as uncharacterized. Lineage: Eukaryota; Metazoa; Arthropoda; Insecta; Hymenoptera; Apidae. The record is from RefSeq and is a predicted model, not a curated record. The transcript is spliced from 2 exons.
AUAUAAUAUCUACAAUUCUAACAAUUAUGCUUGUGCCAACAUGUGAUUUUUAAUGUUCUCUUUGCUGUUAUUUUACACAAUGUUCGAAUUCGAUGCUAUAAAGGUCUAGAUAACCUUUACAUAUAGGCAAAACCAACAUUUCAUACAAUUACAAAGUCUUUUUCCCUUUCACAAACCUUUUUUAUCGCGGCAAAUUUUUUCACGUAUCCAUUGCAUCAGCAUUUGUCGAAAUUCAAUGACACACAGGACCGGUUUUAUCUUUAUCGUAGACUGUAGAUAAAUAUAAUCGCAGCACUGUGAAUACAUUAUGCACGUCGAGAUGUAUGUAGUUAAUAAUUGAAUUUUUCAAUAAAUGUAUAACGAAUAGGGAAACUAUAGGAACUAACUAGGAAAACUUGAGAUAAAAUACGAAACUUUAAGAAACAAAACGGUGACAUUAUGUAUUUUAGACUAUUGAUCGUAGACAUAUCAGCGAUGUAUCAUUAAGGAGGUAAAACAGGUAUUUAAUCGAUUUUGUAAGCGACUAAAUAACUCGUAGACAUCGUGCUUUUUUUUAUCGAUCAUGUCCAUAUAUCGUCAUUGAAUUGAAAACGGUGAUUAUUAUAGUACAAAUUUCGUAUGCGAUGGCUGUGACGGUCGUGAAGCGAGUGAGGAACGUUAUGUCGAAUUCUGGCGGUUGGUGUUACCAACGGGAAAUAACAUUUUAGCAAUCGUUCAUCAUUGUGAUCGCUCGAUCUAUUGAUAAAGACGGGAUGACUGUGAUACGUUCUAAUUAUUUGUUGUCAAUGCGUUUUAUUAUAAAGGUGCUUGAAAUUAUCUUCGAGAAGAAGGGGCUGAGAAGAUUAUCGUGAUUGACCGUAUUUAAAGAAAGAGAUGGAAAUACAUGUGACAAUUUGUUUCCGUAGAUAAAGAAACGUGCAUUCGAAUUUAG